CUUCUUUUGUGAUUAAAAGAAGUUCAGUCUUCCUUAACUUGUGAAUUUAUUUCGUUCUACUUGGCACAAUAUCAAGUUAAGUAAAAUAAAGGUAUAUUUAAAAUCUUAUUCUUGAAAAUGAACUGCCAAAUAAGAGAUAGGGCAUGUCGUUCACACUGACUUACAUUUUUCGAUCUUGAAAAUUAGUUUCAUUAUCUCUGUCUAUUUUUCGGAAAAAAAUAUAUGUUAUCCUCUCUUGAAUUAUGUUAAAUAAUAUGUGGGUUUUUUUUUUUGUCAUGUGUAUUGAAUUUAGAAAAUUAGGUAGCCGAACCAUUUGUCUUGCAAAAUGCAACUUCUCCUUAGUGGUCGCAAUGGUGCGUUGUGAAUAAACCUGACGGUUUUUCGAUAAGAAAUUAUUUCCAUAAGGACCAGUUGCACAAUACAGAUGAUAUACUUUAGGAUCCUAAGAGAUCAUGUUUUUUUUUAGAUUUACUAUUUCGUGUAGUUGUUAUAUUGAAGAACUGCGAAAUGAAUAUUUACACCAUAUCUUCCAUUGGUAUUAAACACAAUAGUGAUUGAUCUCAUCUUUAGGUGCAAGAUGACGUAUAGAAAACCAGUUGUUUUUCUAAUAUUGGUCGUGCAUUAUUACAAAAACAUGUUAUUGUAAGAGAAUUUCAUAUUUCAGAAUCAUAUAUUCAUUUGUAAACAUCUUUUUGUAAACGAAUGUUAGAAAAUGUCGUAUUCUGAAUUUCAUCAAGGUAUAGAGUGAAUUAAUUUUCCAGACUUGCGUCGCGAAGGAAAACAGUACCAAUUUAUGAG
Molecule: long non-coding RNA, 798 nt
Filed under: Mytilus galloprovincialis (Mediterranean mussel)
Lineage: Eukaryota; Metazoa; Mollusca; Bivalvia; Mytilida; Mytilidae
Source: RNAcentral